Molecule: ribosomal RNA, 497 nt
Filed under: uncultured bacterium
Lineage: Bacteria
Description: partial 16S ribosomal RNA
Rfam family: Bacterial small subunit ribosomal RNA
Source: RNAcentral
GAUGAACGCUGGCGGCGUGCCUAAUACAUGCAAGUCGAGCGAACGGACGAGAAGCUUGCUUCUCUGAUGUUAGCGGCGGACGGGUGAGUAACACGUGGAUAACCUACCUAUAAGACUGGGAUAACUUCGGGAAACCGUAGCUAAUACCGGAUAAUAUUUUGAACCGCAUGGUUCAAAAGUGAAAGACGGUCUUGCUGUCACUUAUAGAUGGAUCCGCGCUGCAUUAGCUAGUUGGUAAGGUAACGGCUUACCGAGGCAACGAUGCAUAGCCGACCUGAGAGGGUGAUCGGCCACACUGGAACUGAGACACGGUCCAGACUCCUACGGGAGGCAGCAGUAGGGAAUCUUCCGCAAUGGGCGAAAGCCUGACGGAGCAACGCCGCGUGAGUGAUGAAGGUCUUCGGAUCGUAAAACUCUGUUAUUAGGGAAGAACAUAUGUGUAAGUAACUGUGCACAUCUUGACGGUACCUAAUCAGAAAGCCGCGGCUAACUACGUG